Long non-coding RNA from Loxodonta africana (African savanna elephant), 16186 nucleotides. RefSeq lists it as uncharacterized. The record is from RefSeq and is a predicted model, not a curated record. The transcript is spliced from 2 exons. NCBI's taxonomy places the organism in Eukaryota, Metazoa, Chordata, Mammalia, Proboscidea, Elephantidae.
AAUCUGAAUUGUGGGUAUCGUAGUUCUCUUGCCUUUCAGAGUUUCCGGUUGGGCAGCUUUGGAGCCACACGGUAGGACUUCCAGUCCCAGGUGGCCACACGCAAAGCAAAGCUUGCUGGAGGAGAUUACCUGGUCUUGGUAGAGUGACUUUUUUUCCUAGGAAGCCAGGAAACAGGGGUGCUUUUCAUGUUCACAUUCACUAAAAUUAUGUGCCUGAACUGAAGCAGCUGGGGCUCAUUUCCACAACUGUAAGUGCUGUUGUUAUUUUUCUUUAAUCAAUAAUUAUUUCGCCACUGAUACAUGCUACACACUAGGAAAUUGUGUAAUUUCCAGAAAAAUUGAAUAAAUUAAUUCUUUCUUCCUUCCCAAGGCUCGCUUGGAAAAAAGGGAAGGUGACUGAUACUCUGUGGGCUUGUUGGGAUAUGCUUUAGAAUAAACGACAAGACAGACUAGAAUAAUACCUUGAGACAUGGCUUAGGAUUAAACAAUUUAUAAGGAAAAGAGGAAGUCACACAACAUUAAACGGCAAAUGUAAAAAAUAAUUCACUCUGACUUGCUUCAAUUGUAGAAAUACUCUGAAAUUUUUAAAUAUUUCAAAAAGGCAGGCCAAGUAUGAUGAAAAGGUUGUGGACUCUGAAGUUAGAUAAACUUGGAUUUAGUGAUCUCCCUGCUUAUCUGCUUAUUAGAUGUGUGACCUUUGGCAAGAUGCUUCACCUUAUCAAGCCUCAGUCUCCUCAUCUAUAAAGUCGGGACAAAACCUAUCUCAUUGGAUUACUAGAAUUAAAUCAGCAGAGUGCCUUGUGCUAACUAAAUGGUUAGACAAAAACUGAUAGAGAGUGCACUUGGCUUCAUUCUAAUUAAGUUUCAAUUAAGCUUCAAAAACAGAUCAAAGUGGAUGUAGUGAAAAUUCUGGUGCCUCCCACUUAAUAAGGGCCCUCUAACUCCUAAAAAAAAAAAAAAUUUUUUUUUUUUUUUAACUCCUUGAAAAAGUCUAAGUCCAUAUUCAGUGGGUCCAAUUUUAGGAUUGAUAUUGGAUCACCUAAGUUAGUGGCUGAUAUUUUCCUAGCAAUAAUUACUAGGUGGUAAUGAUUAUGCGUUUCAGGUAUAUUCUUAGAGUCGUCUCCUCCUCAGAGGUGAUGGUUCAGCACUCCGCUGCUAAUCAAUAGGUCAUCAGUUAGAACUCACCAGGUGCUCCCUGGGAGAAAGAUGUGUCAGUCUGCUUCUGUAAAGAUUUGUUGUUGUUGUUGUUAAGUGCCCUCGAGUCGGUUCCGACUCAUAGCGACCAUAUGCACAACAGAACGAAACACUGCCCAGUCCUGCGCCAUCCUUACAAUCUUUGUUAUGCUUGAGCUCGUUGUUGCAGCCACUGUGUCAAUCCACCUUGUUAAGGGCCUUCCUCUUUUCCUCUGAUCCUGUGCUCUGCCAAGCAUGAUGUCUUUCUCCAGGGACUGAUCUCCCCCGACAACAUGUCCAAAGUAUGGAAGACGCAGUCUCGCCAUCCUUCCUUCUAAGGAGCGUUCUGACUGUACUUCUUCCAAGACAGAUUUGUUCGUUCUUUUGGCAGUCCAUGGUAUAUUCAAUACUCUUCACCAACACCACAAUUCAAAGGCAUCAGCUCUUCUUCGGUCUUCCUUAUUCAUUGUCCAGCUUUCACAUGCAUAUGAAGCGAUUUGAAAAAAUACCACGGCUUGGGUCAGGCACACCUUAGUCUUCAGGGUGACAUCUUUGCUCUUCAACACUUUGAAGAGAUCCUUUGCAGUACAUUUGCCUAAUGCAAUGUGUCUUUUGAUUUCUUGACUGCUGCUUCCAUGGCUGUUGAUUGUGGAUCCAAGUAAAAUGAAAUCCUUGACAACUUCAAUCUUUUCUCUGUUUAUCAUGAUGUUGCUCAUUGGUCCAGUUGUGAGGAUUUUUGUUUUCUUUAUGUUGAAGUGUAAUCCAUACUGAAGGCUAUGGUCUUUGAUCUUCAAAAGUAAGUGCUGCAACUCCUCUUCACUUUCAGCAAGCAAGGUUGUGUCAUCUGCAUAACACAGGUUGUUAAUGAGUCUUCCUCCAAUCCUGAUGCCCCAUUCUUCAUUAGUCCAGCUUCUCGUAUUAUUUGUUCAGCAUACAGAUUAAAUAGAUAUGGUGAAAGAAUACAACCCUGAUGCACACCUUUCCUGACUUUAAACCAAUCAGUAUCCCCUUGUUCUGUCCGAACAACUGCCUCUUGAUGUAUGUAAAGGUUCCUCAUGAGCACAAUUAAGUGUUCUGGAAUUCCCAUUCUUUGCAGUGUUAUCCAUAGUUUGUUAUGAUCCACACAGUCGAAUGCCUUUGCAUAGUCAAUAAAACACAGGAAAACAUCCUUCUGGUAUUCUCUGCUUUCAGGCAGGAUCCAUCUGACAUCAGCAAUGAUAUCCCUGGUUCCACGUCCUCUUCUGAAACCGGCCUGAAUUGCUGGCGGUUCCCUGUUGAUAUACUGCUGAAGUGAUUUUUGAAUGAUCUUCAGCAAAAUUUUGCUUUCGUGUGAUACUAAUGAUAUUGUUCUAUAAUUUCCACAUUUGGUUGGAUCAUCUUUCUUGGGAAUUGGCAUAAAUAUGGAUCUCUUCCAAUCAGUUGGCCAGGGAGCUGUCUUCCAUAUUUCUUGGCAUAGAUGAGUGAGCACCUCCAGCACUACAUCUGUUUGUUGAAACAUCUCAAUUGAUAUUCCAUCAAUUCCUGGAGCCUUGUUUUUUGCCAAUGCCUUCAGAGCAGCUUGGAUUUCUUCCUUCAGUACCAUCGGUUCCUGAACAUAUGCCACCUCUUGAAAUGGUUGAAUAUCGGCUAAUUCUUUUUGGUAUAAUGACUCUGUGUAUUCCUUCCAUCUUCUUUUGGUGCUUCCUGCAUCGUUUAAUAUUUUCCUCAUGGAAUCCUUCACUAUUCCAACUCGAGGCUUGAAUUUUUUCUUCAGUCCUUUCAGCUUGAGAAACGCUGAGCGCGUUCUUCCCUUUUGGUUUUCCAUCUCCAGCUCUUUGCACAUGUCAUUUUGUUUUCUUGUGAGGCCCUUUGAAAUCUUCUGUUCAGUUCUUUUACUUCAUCAAUUCUUCUUUUUGCUUUGGCUGCUUGACGCGCAAGAGCAAGUUUCAGAGUCUCCUCUGACAUCCAUCUUAGUCUUUUCUUUCUUUUCUGUCUUUUCAGUGACCUCUUGCUUUCUUCAUAGAUGAUGUCCUUGAUGUCAUUCCACAACACAUCUCGCCUUCAGUCACUAGUGUUCAAUGCAUCAAAUCUGUUCAUGAGAUGGUCUCUAAAUUCAGGUGGGAUAUACUCAAGGUCAUAUUUUGGCUCUUGUGGACUUGCUCUGAUUUUCUUCAGUUUCAGCUUGAACUUGUAUAUGAGCAAUUGAGGUCUGUUCCACAGUCGGCCCCUGGCUUUAUUCUGACUGAUGAGAUUGAGCUUUUCCAUCAUCUCUUUCCACAGAUGUAGUCAAUUUGAUUUCUGUAUGUUCCAUCUGGUGAGGUCCGUGUGUAUAGUCGCCAUUUAUGUUGGUGAAAGAAGGUAUUUGCAAUGAAGAAGUCGUUGGUCUUGCAAAAUUCUAUCAUUCCAUCUCCAGCAUUGUUUCUGUCACCAAGGCCAUAUUUUCCAACUACUGAUCCUUCUUUUUUGUUUCCAACUUUCACAUUCCAAUUGCCAGUAAUUAUCAAUUCAUCUUGAUUGCAUGUUCAGUCAAUUUCAGACUGCAGCAGCUGAUAAAAAUCUUCUAUUUCUUCAUCUUUGGCCCUAGAGGUUGGUGCAUAAAUUUGAAUAAUAGUCGUAUUAACUGGACUUCCCUGUAGGCGUAUGGAUAUUAUCCUAUCACUGACAGCGUUGUACUUCAGGAUAGAUCUUGAAACGUUCUUUUUGACGAUGAAUGCAACACCAUUCCUCUUCGAGUUGUCAUUCCCAGCAUAGUAGACUACAUGAUUCUCUGAUUCAAAAUGGCCAAUACCAUUCCAUUUGAGCUCACUAAUGCCUAGGGUAUCAAUGUUUAUGUGUUCCAUUUCAUUUUUGAUGAUUUCCAAUUUUCCUAGACUCAUACUUCGUACAUUCCAGGUUCUCAUUAUUAAUGGAUGUUUGCAGCUGUUUCUUCUCAUUUUGAGUUGUGCCACAUCAGCAAAUGAAGGUCCCGAAAGCUUUACUCCAUCCACGUCAUUAAGGUCAACUCUACUUUGAGGAGGCAGCUCUUCCCCAGUCAUCUUUUGAGUGCCUUCCAACCUUGGGGGCUCAUCUUCCAGCACUACAUCAGACAAUGUUCCGCUGCUAUUCAUAAGGCUUUCACGGCCUAAUGCUUUUCAGAAGCAGACUGCUGGGUCCUUCUUCUUAGUCAGUCUUUGUCUGGAAGCUCAGCUGAAACCUGUCCUCCAUGGGUGACCCUGCUGGUAUCUGAAUACCAGUGGCAUAGCUUCUAACAUCACAGCAACACAUAAGCUCCCACGGUAUGAAAAACUGACAGCCAUGUGGGGGAUGUAAAGAUUACAGCCUUGGAAACCCUGUGGGGAAGUUCUACUCUGUCCUGUAGGGUUGCUAUGAAUUGGAAUCAACUCAACAACAAUGAGUUUGGUUUUUGGUUUAACAUAAUUACAUGAUUAUCUUAAUUCACAAUGGUGAUUUUUAAAAUAUGGGUGGUGUAUUGAAUCUAGGACUUAUGAAGUCAUAAUUAUUAGUUACAACUUUUUUGAAAUCCUUUGUUACAGUUCAUUUAUAAAACUUUAAGUGCUUGUGCUAUUUAUUCCAGUUUUCUCAAUAUAUCCCAUGGCUAACUUAGAGAGAGAAUUUCUUUUUUCUGUCUUCAUCUUAGAGAUAAUAACAUCUAUUAAGACAGGGUCUGUUAAACACAACUUUCCCUUAAAAUAUAUUACUUAAUUUGAAGGACAAAAGAAAAUUUGAAAUUACAUUGAUUUUAAACUUGAAGUCAAGCCGUUAUUGAGUCUUGGAAAAUUCUGUCUUGAGAGACUUCAGAAUUAUGUCCCCACAUGUGCCUAACUGUCUGUUAAUACUAAGGAUCCCCUAUGAUAGUUGGUGAUACCUGACGGUGACAGCGACCAGUAUUUGUGAUGAGUGUGAAAAGUUUCCUAUGGGAUAUGCCACAUAAACAUAAGCCUGUUCAAGGAGAUACACCAGUGAGUUUAGGGUAGCAUUAAAAUGAAGAUAAGGCAGAGAAAAGUUGCAGAAGCACUUGAUAAUCACAGUAGACUGCAGAAGGUGCAGCAUUCCUUUGUUGAUGAAUACCAUCCAUAGUCUAGUUUCUUUAGGAAGUGUCAUUUGUUUAAUGGCUACUUAACGACCUUAUAAUGUUCCUGGUCAUGGAUUAGCCCCUGAGAUUAGAAGAGUGACUGAGGUAUCGUCCUCGCUGUGAUCCUGGUCGACUAGCGAAGAUAUGUACUGAUAAAUAGUAAACAGAGUAGGUGCUAAUUCACCAUUCACUCCCAGCAUUCACAGAGUCAGUGUUAGUUAAAUUCCCGCUCCUUACAAGGCAUGGCCCUCAGUAUCAGGGAAUAAAAAGAAGCCUUCAUAAACUGUCACUUGGAAAAAAAACAAAAACAGACUCGAAAGCUUGUAUCUGAGUCAAUCAAGGGGGAGUGGAGUCACUUCCCAAAACAUGGAAGAGACACCUAUCAGGAUGUCAAUGGAAGGGGAGGUCACAGUGUACCAAAUAGGAAGGGGAAACUGUGGGAUGUGGUGGGGCUUUGAUCCGGCCUGGAAGGAUGUGCAAAACUGAGAUUUGCAGAGCAAGGUGAAGGGAAUAUCUCAUGAGGAGCAAAGUUUUCCAAACUUUGCAUGUGUGAAGUGAUUUUAGGCAAUAUAUGGAGGGGGCAGUUAAUAACAUUGAAUUACAGAGUGAGAAAGUCAUCCUAAUUUAAUUUCAAUUCUUCAAGGCAAAAAUGUUUUAUUUUUGAUGUCACUUUAAAGUCUUCUAACACUUGUUUGGGAGCCUCUGGAUGGUGCAAACAUUAAUGUUCUUGGCUGCUAACCAAAAGUUUGGAGGUUCAAGUUCACUCUGAGGUGCCUCGGGAAAAAGUCCUGGCAAUCUGCUUCUGAAAAAUCAUCCAUUGAAAACCCUAUGGAGCACAGGUCUACUCUCACAUACAUGGAGUUGCCACGAGUUGGAGUCAACUUGACAGUAACUGCUGUUUGUGAGGGCAGUGGUGGUCGAGGGGUACAAUUCUUGCCUUCAGUGCAGGAGACCCAGCUUCCAUUGCUGACCAAUACAUCCCAUGUACAGCUACCACCUGUCUACCAGUUGAGGUUUGUGUUUUGCUAUGAUGCUAAACUGGGCUCAGCAGAGCUUCCAGACUAAAAUGGACUAGAAAAAAAGGCCUGGUGAUCUACUUCCAAAAAACACCCUGUGAAAAUCUUGUGGCUCCCCAGUCUGAUCCUCAGCCCAUCAUGGAGAUGAUGUAGGGACCUGGUGGCAUUUUACUCUGUUAUGCCCAGGGUCACCAUGAGUCAGGGGUCACCUCAAUGGCAGCUAACAACAGAACAAUGCUUAUUUAAUCUUUCUUUAUAGCGAAAAUAGAAUAGGCAACAGGCUCAAUGAUAUUAGCAGGCAAAAAGUAUUUAGUUAUAAUUCAAUAGCUAUUUUUAAGUAAGAUUUAUUUUUACAGUUAUUGCCUACUUAUUACUGUAGAUACUGUUUUGUUCAUUUAUGGUAUGGAUAGAAACUAUUCUUUAAAAGAUUUUUCUGUGCUAGAAAGAGAAUCAAUUGACAGAACAUGUAAGUAAAAAAAAAAAAAAUGGUUCAGAUGGUACUUGGCAAUGAAAAAAUCGCGAAGAGGUGAUAGAAUGCCUGAAGUUUGAGAAACACUGAGGUAGGGGGAAUGUCACAUAAAAAAAAAAUUAGGAAGUGAAAUUGAAUAGGCUGUUUUUUUAUGUUUAUAGAAAGGAGGGAUAUUGAGAUAGUCUACGGGUUUUUGGGCGAUGAUGCUGGAAUAAGGUUGAUCGCGAUUUGGACUUAAGCUUCUAGAUGGUGGAGAAUUCAAAAAGGUUUUGAGCCAGGGGCUGAUGUGUUGAAACUGUGCUUUAGAAAGAUAAUCCAAGGAAUGAUAAACAGGUGAGUUGGAGGGCAGGCAUCGGGAAGUACCGAGAGCCCUUUGGAUCCAGGUUUUGAUACUGGAAAUAUGAAUAAAUCAGGCAUGUUGGGAAUGAAGAUGGAAAAGAAGGGAGUGAUAAGGGAGUCAAUCGAGAAAUGAAAAUUAAAUAAUAAUGAUAGCCAAUUGAAGUGCCCUUGGAGUUUUAAGCUUGGGGGCCUAAUAAAAAAUCACAAUAAUGCUGAAGAAAUGAAUGGGAGCUAGUCUAUAUGGAGGAAAUGAUGCUUUGCAACUUCAGACAAUUUUAGGGUAAACCUUAAAGUGGAAAGAGACACUGCAUUGUUUAUCAUGUGGAAUUUGAAUUCUGGAGAGCCUUCAGGGUUGGCCAGAGAAAUGGAAGAGAGAGAGCCCUCCUUCAUUAAAAUAAAAUCUCCUACUGCCCCUCCUCCUGCCCCGCUUAAGGUUUAGGAGAGUCUUCAGCUGCUGGGGAUGGGAAGGUGAAGGAAGAGCAUAUGGACUCUUUCCUCCCAAGGUUUUAUUUUCUCUUGGGGUUUUCCCUUGAUUACUACAGCCACCCUUGUGUGUAGCGAUAUGCAGUUUCUUUUUAGGGUCUUUCUUCAGAAUAAACAAAAACAUCCUUAUCUCUAGUCAGGAGACCUGCGACUGGCUUUCUGUUCUAGGAACGGUAGAGGUAAAUUUUGUGUGUCACCUGUUUCUAUGGGGAAAGGCAUGUCAUUUGGAAAGGCAAAGUCCCUCCUUCAUUUUUUCUUGUCCUUCCUCAAUUAAAAAAUGUGAUGAAUUACUUUAUAUAAACCGUAAGUAUUUAUAUAGGCAUACAUAAUAAAUAUAUAAAGAUAAAUGGAUAUCACAAAAACUUCUGUACUUAUCUCCCAGCUUAAGAAAUAAAAUAUUAGAGAUUAAAAAAAAAGCACCCACCCAGCUCUGGCUCCCCUCUCUCCCACUUUCGGGAUUACCACCCUGUCUUUGCAGUUGAUCGGUCAAGUGUAUGUCUUUAUUCUUUUACCUACUUUUAUUCUUUCCACAGUUAUGUGACUAUAUCCUUAAACAGUAUAUGCCAUUGUUUUGAAUGUUUAAAGCCUUUAUAUAAACAUUAAAGUUUACUUUAUUCAUCUGCAACUUGGUUUUUCUCUCAAAAUUAUAUUUUUGAGAUUAAUCUGGGUUGAUUCUUGUAGCACAACUUGUUUAUUUUUAUAGAUGUAUGGUAUUUUGCCAUCACCAAGGACAAUGUAAUGGACGUUCUUACACAUGCCUCUUCAGGUACAAAGUAAGAGUUAGAACUCUAUUAGAGUGCAUCUAGAAAUAGACUUCCUGAGCCAUAGGCAUACAUAUCUUCAGCUUUAUUGGAUAUUGACAAAUUGCUCUCCAAAAUAUUUAUACCAAGUUAUGUUUCCAGCCACAGUGAAUGAGAUUUCCUCUUUCUCCACAUCCUCAAUGCACUUCUUUAUCUCAAACGUGUUAAGGAAAUGUUUACAGACAUAAGGAAAAGCCAGAAGCGGCAUCUGGGAGGCUCUUGGGUGUGUUGGUAACACUCCAGUCUCUAAAAUACAGUGCAAAAGUUGAUCCCAAAUAAACUUCCUUAUUUCUCAACCUUAGGGGAAGAGAUUGACUGACUUUUCCAUUACAGAGGCGUUUAUGUAUUUAGUAUUAAUGAUAAUAAUGAUUAAUAAUAAUAUUGAUAAGAACUGUUUACAUCAAUUAAGUGCUUAUUGUGUGUGAAAUUCUAUCUUAUGCACUUUAAUAGUAUUAUCUUAUUCAAUUAAUUUUUUGAGGAAGACAGUGUCGUUAGUCCACUUUACAGAUGAGGAAACUGAUGUGUGGAAAUAUUAAGUCAAUAGCUAGUAACCAGGGGUGGUGAAUUUUGUAUGCAGUCGAUCUAUUCCUAUAGCAACAGGUGGGGUGGUAUAGGUGAGAACAGAUGGGAAGAGAGUCACCAAAGUACCAUAGCCUGUAACUCCAAAAGUUUAGACUCUAGUUAAUUAAUAUUUAAGUAGCAUCAAUGAGCAUACUUAGAUAAUGGCAGGUAGCAAAUAAGUGCUAUAUUCACACUGUGGAGAAUUCAAUUUUAUCUGGAAGGAGUAUAAACAGAUUCUUGCCAGUGACCAAACCAGAGUCUUAGAGACUGAAGAGAGAAUGUUAAAGAGGAAAAAAAUGGAAAAUAGUUUUUUAGAAAAUAAAGAGAGGUGGAAAAGCACAAGAUAUUGUUAAGAAAAUGAAUUCAUUUAUCUGAUCAUUAAUUCAACCAAUAAUUUCUUAAACAUCUACUAUGUGUGAGACACUGGGCUAAGUUCUGAGAUUCACAGUGACUGAUGUGCUAGGAAGUGUAGUAUAUGGGGAAAUUGGUGCAAAAACAUGAAAAGAAUAAGACUGAAAAGAUAGGUCACCUCUGAUUACCAAAGAUUUUGAAUAUCAGCCUAAGGGAUGUGCACUUUAUUCCGAUGGUGGGAGUCAGUGUAAAUCCCUGUGAAGUAAUGGUUAUCAUUCAUUCAGUAAGUACUUAUUAUGUAAACUUUUACUGAACCUCUGUUUUACUUAGUGUUUAGGAUACAGUGAUCAAAAAGUUUAUAGUACAAUGCAGGUGACAAAUAAGUCUGUAAAUUUUAUAAUACAAUUUGUGAAUAAAAGCAGAGGUUUGCAUAGUACAGAGUUGCCUAACCUAGGCUGGAGAAGUGGGGUGAGGAGAGGGAGGACCAGUCUGAAAUAUUUUCCAAGAUCUUUUUUGGGGUAAACAAGAUUGUUUGAAGAAAUUUGACAACUUAUCUUAAUCUCUAAAAAAAAAAAUUUUUUUUUCUGAUUUCAAAAGACUUACACGUUCACCAGAGAAAAUUUGAGAACUACAAUCAUACCUAGCAAGGAUGAUCUGUGUGUAUAUCCUGUUAGUCUUCUAUGCCUAUAAUAGAUGCUAAGAAUGAAUAAUUUACAAAAAACAGUUAUAUGACCUUUUUAAUUUCACUUAUCAAUAUAAUAUACAUUUUCCAUAUCAUUAUACUAUUCAUCUAUACAACAACUUUAAAUUUCUUAUUUCUAUGUGAGGUAAUAUCACCUAUCCUCUAUUGUUGGAGAUAUCUGCUUCUUCCGAUUUUUGUGUUGUUAUGAAUUGUUCCAUGCUAAAUGUGAUUCUACAAAAAUCUUAGAUUAUAGCUGUUUACUUUCUAAGAUAAAUUUCUAGAAUUUGUACUUUAGAUCAUAGUACCCAUGAACACUCCUGAACACAUUAGACAAGAGAAGGAAAGCCCUUAUAGAAUUUUUAACAAGAGAUUGAAUUGACAAAACUUGCAUUUUAGAAAGGUCACUCUGAAAAGCUUUUGAGGGGAAAGUAGAUAAAAUCAGAGGCAGAGGACCAGGUAGGAUUUAUUGCAGAAAUCUGGGUGAACGCAGAAUAGAGUCUACACAAAAGAAGUGGCAUCAGUGACAGGGUAGGGAGAUUUUAGAGAUAUUAAUUUAGUAGCAAUUAGUAGAUUAAGGGCAAGGUGUGAAUUACCUUUCAGUAGGUAAGUGGGUGGGUGGCAUUGUCCUCGUUCCCUUAGGUAGGGAAGACAGGAGAAACAGGUUUAGGAGGAAAGAUAUCCUAAGUUCAUGUCUGGUGCAUGUUGACACGUCUGUGGCCAUCCAUACGGAGAUAUUGUUUAAGCAGUUGCUCAGAUCUCUCUGUCAGGAGUGAAAAUAGGCAAGAGAUAGAUUUGGGGGUCAUUAAUCCUUUAGGUCAUUAAUUGUUGGUUGCAGCCCUAGGUGUAGAUGGAGUCUUCCAGGGGUAUUAAGGACUGCAGCAUGAGAAGGGUGCGGGCUCAGGGUUGUACCCUCUGGGGUAGUAACAUUAAGGUUUAAGUAGAAGAAAUGGCCACAGUGGAGACUAAGAAUGAGAGGUCACAGAAAUAGGAGGAAAUCAUUAGAGGAGAUAGUGAAGACAAAGAAGAAAUUUUCAAGAAAAGAGUAGUUAUCAGUGUUACAUGCCACUGCAGCAUGAAGUAAGAAUAAAAGGCGUUCUUGAAUUUCACUGGAAGCCUUAUCAAGAACAGUUUCAGUAGAAUGGUGGGAACGGACACCAGAUUGCCAUAAUUAGACCUGUGUUUCAGAAAGAUGAGUCUAGCAGUUUUCUGUGGGGAGAAUGGCUGAGGAAAGGAAGAGACCAGCAAGUGGAAGACCAUGCAAUGGAGUGGGCACUGGGGCUCCAAAAACCCAAACCAAACCCGUUGCAGUCAAGUCGAUUCCAAUUCAUAGCAAUCCUGUAGGACAGAGUAAAAUUCCCCCAUAAGGUUUCCAAGGAGCUGCUGGUGGAUUCAAACUGUUGAUAUUUUGGUUGACAGCCAAGCUCUGAACCACUGCACCAUUAGGCCUCCAGAUAGGAGGUAAUAAGUCCUGAACCAAGGCAGUUAUAGUGGCAGUGGAUAUAGAGAGACUGUGGCAGUAGAAUUUAACAAGUAGAUGGAUAUGGUAUAUGAAGAAGGAGAUGGAUUUCAAGAAGAUUCUGAGAUUUUAAUCUAAAAUGAUUGGGAAAAUGGUGAAACCAUCAAUGAACACAGAAUUCAGAAAAAUAAAUACUUUUUGUUGAUGGAGAUACUGUUUUUGUUUCCUAAGGCACUAAGAAAUAGAAAAUACCACAAGUGGUGGUUUUAAAGAACCAAAAUUUAUUUUCUCACAGUUCAGGAGGCUAGAAAUCCAAAUUCAGAGUGUGGUUCUAGUGGGGGGUCCUUCUUUGUCUAUUUCAGCUUCUAGUAGCUAGCCAUCCUUGGUGUUCUUGGGUUUGUAGAUUCAUCUGCCUUCAUCGGCAUCAAAUAGGGUCUGUCUUUCCCCUAUGUUUGCUUAAUGUUCUGUGUAAUCUGCUUUUUAUAACUUAGAAAUGAUUAGGCUUAGGGCACAUCCUACAACUGAUAUGGUCUCAUUAACAUAAAAAAGAAUGCUCUAUUCCCAAAUGAAACUACAUCCACAAGUAUAGGGGUUAGGAUUCUAAUUACUAUUUUGGGGCGGGGGGAACACAAUUCAACCCAUAACAGACAGGGAAGGAAAGAUAAGUUCUCCCUUGGAUAUGUUGAUUUGAGGCGUAUAUGAAGCUGUACAAGGUAUGGGUGGCAUUCAUACGAGGACAUCGUGCAGGUGUCUGUUACGGUUCUUCUGCUCAGGAGAGAGAUCAUGGUGAGAGGCACAAAGCAGCCGUGGUACAAAUAGAAUUUGCAAUCAUGGGAAAGGGUGGAAUAGCUCAAGGAGAUUACUGAGAGUGAGAAGAAACAGAAAACCUUGGGAAAUGGUUAAAUAAACAGAUAACAGAGGCAGAACCACUGAAGAAGAGAGAGAAGGGAUGAUCAAAGCAAUAACAGGAAAACCACUGGAGUAUUAAUUUAAGAAAGCAGAGGAAAACAGAGUUUCAGGAGGCUGGGUGAUGGCCAAAGCAGACACCGCAGGCAGGGCAAGCAGGAAGAGAACCACGGAAGGCCUUGGGUUGGGCUUCUUCCAACUCUUGCUUUGCUUAGGAAAUGUAUUUUUAGAAUCUGUCGUAAUACUGUGAUUUACGUUGUCUUCUUAUUUUUUUUCAAUUUCUACAUUGUUUUGUAUGGAAUGAAAUAAUUAACUUUAUUUUCAUUCUACAACAUAGCUUUCAAUCUCUCCUUCUUCUGACUCAUGGAAAUUUACCAGGACUACAGUUUUAUGAAGAACCCUGGUGGCGCAAUGGUUAAGAGCUUGGCUGCUAACCAAGAGGUUGGCAAUUCAAAUCCACCAGCUGCUCCUUAAAAACCCUAUGGAGCAGCUCUACUCUGUCCUAUAGGGUGGCUGUGAGUCAGAAUUGACUCGAUGGCAUACAACAAAAGAGCUUUAUAAGAAUUUAUUUUCACACCCUUUUUUUCCAUUCUAAAGGAAACAAAUUGUGUUAAUUUCAAAGAAGAUAUUGAUUCAUAUAUUAAACUUUUAUUUGGGGAGGGGUGAAACUUGGCUUUUGAUAUUCAUAUGGAGUUCUGAUGGUGCAGUGGUUAAGAACUUGGCUGAUAACCAAAAUUCCUGUAGUUUGAAUCCAUCAGCUGCUCCUUGGAAACCAUAUGGAGAAAUUCUACUCUGUCCUGUAGGGUCGCUAUGAGUCGGAAUCAACUUGACAGCAAUGGAUUUGGCUAACAUUAACAGAGCUGCAAUGACAAGAUGUUGGUCACUGAAGGUCAAGGAGCCAUCGAUGUCAUGGUUUAAAGCCUCCUGCAGGCCGUGCUGGCCUUCAUGUGUAGCCCUUUGCUGCUGACCCUGCUCCUGCUGACCCUUGAGGAUGGUGCUCCACAACUGGAUGCCCUGCUCUCUCAGCAGCUUGUGGGGCAGGCUGAGGGAGUGCCCCAGCAGCCUGGAGGACCUGGAGAUGUAUUCGGUAUCCAGAGGCAGUUUUCGAGGGACACUUAUCUGAGGAGGAGAGUGAGGGGAUGACUCAGUCUACUUCAGAGGAAGACUUGGAGACAGUGGACCCCUCAGAAGAUAACUAAACAGUCUCUCUUUUAUACUUAUAAUAAAGCAUUCUAUUUCCCUAAAAAAGAAAAUUAUUUUGCGUAGUGACAGGAUACUAAAAUGGAAAAUUUGGCUAAGAUUAUAAGAUGGUUGCAUUCUUUCUUCUUACCACUCCCCAAGUCCACCUACCUCUACUUCUUCCUCUACCCCACUCAUAUGCCUUGGUCUUAUAAACUGCUUCCUUGCUUCCUCAAUGAUCUAUGCUCAUUCAUGCUUUCACACUGUGUGCAUUGUAUUCCUUUUAGUGGAAGCACUAUUCAUCGUUCUUCCUUUCCCUGUAAAGUCUUGUGUGGAGUUGGCAUUUGAACUUAGAUAGCUUUACCUUUAGAAACCAUUUCAUAAAUACUGCAUGAUACCUCGGGGCAGCCAGGCUCAAGGGUGUCUCCUGGCUUCUGGGCUCUUAUAUUUCAUGAAAAAUGUUACUACGUUCAUCCCUCUCUUUUGUUAUAGCAGCAUGCUCUGCCAUCCUUCCUCUGGGUCUGACCACCACUCGUCAAGGUUUUGUUUAUAUUUGAUUCAUCAAUUCAGGUGCCAUUAUGUUGCUUCUCUCCAUUUAGAAUUAAAAAAAAAAAAAGAAGAAAACUUAAACAUAAUGACAGAAAUCCAUCUUGCUAAAUAAUACCCAGUCAUCUUAGAAGACUUGAAUAAAGGGAGCUGCGCAACUAUGUGGGCAGGUUUAGGUGGACAUUUUCCUGGAUGCCAAGUGAUGUUAAAAAUAUUUAACAAUGGGUAUGGCAUGGACACUGACCCAUUAGAAUGGACAUCUGACCAAUCGUAACACAUGCUGGCUAGCAUGUCAUACUAAAUACUCAUUCUGCCAGUAUUGCCUGGCUCUUAUAAUCCUCCAAUUUCUCCCAUUUUCUAGGCCAGAAUGGUGAGGGGUUUCUUAGAACGCUAACUGUGAAGAGUGGGCAUGUUUCUCUGGGCUCAAGCAAAAAGGGAAUUAGGUACUGAUGGCUGAGUGCAUUGCUUCAGCUUCCCUUUUACAGAAUUACAUCAUUUAUGGAAUUACUAUCUCUCAUACUGUUGGCGGUUUCCUAAGGUUGAAAUUCCCUGUGAUUAACCUAUACACUCUUGCCUGUUGCAAUUUUACAACAAUUUACUUCUCUUCCAGGAUUUGUCUUUACAUCCAGCAAGCUGGUUGAAAAUCUUGAUAUUAGAGGUCUCUCAGUAACCUCUUUUUUCCUUAGAUGUCGUGAUGUGUUUUCUUUGGUAUUUAUUAUUAUUGUUUUUAAAUAUAACAGAAUAGAAUUUGUUAACUGAACAGAGAUUUUUGUUUAUCUGUAGCUGUUCACUUUUAAUAACAUUUUUUCUUAGUAACCUUUCAAAUGUGCAUACAACAAUAAAGAAAACCAUCUAUUAUACUAUUCAGUAUAUAUGUAUGCAUACUAUAUAAAUACACAUACUAUAUAAACCGGAUAGUAUAUUGAAUGCUGGCACUUGUUUUCCUUUAUUCUCAGUCUUGCUGAUCACAUAGGAUUUGGCUAACUCAACAGUGCUAUAAGAAUCUGUUUACAAUGCCUUUUUUUCUUUAUAAAGCAUGUAUACCUCACUAAUUUCUUAUUAAUUGGUAUUAUAAGACAUUUAAGUAAUGUAUUAUUAUUUUUAAUCAAAAAAGGCAGUAAGAACUGAAAGUGAACCCUGUAGUAACAUUUUUGAAUGACAUUUAAUAUCCUCUCUUACUUCUGUGAAUUCCACUUCAUUUUAUUUCAGCAUUUGAAUCUCCUGUUAAUGAGUGUGCUUCCUAUUUAAUUUGAAUAAUUUAACUGAUUUUCUCAUUCUAGUCUUUAUUUCAGAGCAUGGCUUUGAAGUGAUUGCCUCCUAAUGACUAUGUGGUGAUCUCCCUGGGCUUGUCUGAGGGUGAGGGUGGGGGAGGGUGCUGUUGAGCAAGGUAAGGCGCACCCUUCACUGUGGCUCGUGGGUUGAGCUGCUGCCCCAGACAUACACCACACACUCCUGGGUCACUUCUCAGUGUCAUCCUCCUUUUGCCUCAGAUAGGCUUUGGCUGGGAGGGCGCUUACCUUCUCAAUGAGUCUGGAUAGAAAAAAGUCAUUUCUUGACUACUGUUUAUCUGUGCACCAUAUUUCCACCUUAGUAGCUAAAGAUUUUUCCUUCUAGUCACAGUAUCCUUUCAUAAGCCUUGUACGAGCCUCUUAAUCUGUCUGUGUCUCAAUUUCUUAUCUGCAAAUGGAGCUAAUAACCUUGGUUACUUUUCUCCUCAGAUACUCCGUCCAGAGGAUUUAAUAAGCUGACACUCAAAGGCACAAGUGUCUAAGAUGAUAGGGCCCUCCAUAAAAUCAAAUUAUUGUUAUUAUCAUCCUCCCUUUGUCCUGCCAGCAGAAUAAUAACACCCACAUGGGAUCCUGUAUUUAUAGAGGGCUUUGUAUUUUUCACGGUUUUUUGUGUUUCAUAAUUUACACUAGCCUCUCUCUGCACAGUCUCAGCAUCAUGCUUCCAUGGAUUAAGGAUUUGUUCAGCCUCUUCUGUAAAUCUCUCUUUUCCAUUAGCUCUUCAUUUUUCUGCCAGUUCAGAUUAUUAUUUUUUAGUUCCAUUUUGUCUAAGGCUUGAAAGAUUCUCCCUAUAUCAAGGCUGCUUGUGGUGUAUGGGGUUUGGAUAAUGUAUAUGUAAUUUGGCUUUUAAAUUGGUAACUCUCAUUAAAAAAAAAAAAAAAAAAAAAA